This is a long non-coding RNA of Carcharodon carcharias (great white shark), 520 nucleotides long. RefSeq lists it as uncharacterized. Lineage: Eukaryota; Metazoa; Chordata; Chondrichthyes; Lamniformes; Lamnidae. The transcript has 2 exons. The record is from RefSeq and is a predicted model, not a curated record.
AGUGCCGUAGAGUAUGUAAAUAAGCAGGAGCCAGAAGCGGAUUCCUACUCCACGCCCAGCUCCCCAGUGGGUUUCUCCGUGUUCUGCUCCCCCUGGGCUCCUGCUCUCCCCCUCUGCUUAUGCCAAGGAAAGAAAGAAUCUGCAGUGAGAAGCAAGAAUACCCAUCCCACUGUUAACCUACGUAGAACGAAGUGCAUUGCUAGAUGACCUUUGCAGACCAAGCAGCAAGAGGGAGAGAGGAACAGACAGCACCACACCACAAAGAGCCACUGGAAAACCAGCAAAUCACCAGAAACAAGAGAACGAAAAGAAGAACUGCAUACAUCCAGUGGAUCAUGUCAGCAAGCAGGAGCCUCAGCUUCUAUUGGAUGGAAGCAGUGGGGAUUGCAUCAAUGGACCACAUGAACCUAUUUUUAUACAAUGCACAAUUAUUUCUAUGAUUUGAACUACACCAGGUUAUAAGGAUGCUGGGUAUAAUUACAUUUCCUUACCCAGACACUAUUAAAACAGAGAUCAUUUA